RNAcentral lists this ribosomal RNA (861 nucleotides) under Vibrio sp. BL60. RNAcentral describes it as "bacterial SSU rRNA". It matches the Rfam family "Bacterial small subunit ribosomal RNA", at positions 108 to 965 of the family's 1533-position model. The record is from RNAcentral. Lineage: Bacteria; Pseudomonadati; Pseudomonadota; Gammaproteobacteria; Vibrionales; Vibrionaceae.
GAGUAAUGCCUAGGAGAUUGCCCUGAUGUGGGGGAUAACCAUUGGAAACGAUGGCUAAUACCGCAUGAUGCCUACGGGCCAAAGAGGGGGACCUUCGGGCCUCUCGCGUCAGGAUAUGCCUAGGUGGGAUUAGCUAGUUGGUGAGGUAAUGGCUCACCAAGGCGACGAUCCCUAGCUGGUCUGACAGGAUGAUCAGCCACACUGGAACUGAUACACGGUCCAGACUCCUACGGGAGGCAGCAGUGGGGAAUAUUGCACAAUGGGCGCAAGCCUGAUGCAGCCAUGCCGCGUGUGUGAAGAAGGCCUUCGGGUUGUAAAGCACUUUCAGUCGUGAGGAAGGUGGUAGUGUUAAUAGCACUAUCAUUUGACGUUAGCGACAGAAGAAGCACCGGCUAACUCCGUGCCAGCAGCCGCGGUAAUACGGAGGGUGCGAGCGUUAAUCGGAAUUACUGGGCGUAAAGCGCAUGCAGGUGGUUUGUUAAGUCAGAUGUGAAAGCCCGGGGCUCAACCUCGGAAUAGCAUUUGAAACUGGCAGACUAGAGUACUGUAGAGGGGGGUAGAAUUUCAGGUGUAGCGGUGAAAUGCGUAUAGAUCUGAAGGAAUACCGGUGGCGAAGGCGGCCCCCUGGACAGAUACUGACACUCACAUGCGAAAGCGUGGGGAGCAUACAGGAUUAGAUACCCUGGUAGUCCACGCCGUACACGAUGUCUACUUGGAGGUUGUGGCCUUGAGCCGUGGCUUUCGGAGCUAACGCGUUAAGUAGACCGCCUGGGGAGUACGGUCGCAAGAUUAAAACUCAUAUGAAUUGACGGGGGCCCGCACAAGCGGUGGAGCAUGUGGUUUAAUUCGAUGCAACGCGAA